This 400-nucleotide ribosomal RNA is filed under the name uncultured bacterium. Its description in RNAcentral is "bacterial SSU rRNA". It matches the Rfam family "Bacterial small subunit ribosomal RNA", at positions 355 to 747 of the family's 1533-position model. The record is from RNAcentral.
UCGAGAAUCUUUCGCAAUGGGCGCAAGCCUGACGAAGCGACGCCGUGUGAGCGAAGAAGGCCUUCGGGUUGUAAAGCUCUUUCGCUAGGGAACAAGAGAGGCGGGAUAACACCCCGCUGAUUUGAUGGUACUUGGUAAAGAAGCACCGGCUAACUCCGUGCCAGCAGCUGCGGUAAUACGGAGGGUGCAAGCAUUGAUCGGAAUUACUGGGCGUAAAGGGCGCGUAGGCGGCAAAGAAAGUCAGAUGUGAAAUUCCGGGGCUCAACCCCGGAGCUGCAUUUGAAACUUCUUAGCUAGAGUACAGUUAGGGAAAACAGAAUUCCACGUGUAGCGGUGAAAUGCGUAGAUAUGUGGAAGAAUACCGGUGGUGAAGACGGUUUUCUGGGCUGUAACUGACGCU